RNAcentral lists this ribosomal RNA (466 nucleotides) under uncultured bacterium. Its description in RNAcentral is "partial 16S ribosomal RNA". It matches the Rfam family "Bacterial small subunit ribosomal RNA", at positions 28 to 507 of the family's 1533-position model. The record is from RNAcentral.
GACGAACGCUGGCGGCGCGCCUAACACAUGCAAGUCGAACGAGCGAGAGAGAGCUUGCUUUCUUGCUCGAGUGGCGAACGGGUGAGUAACGCGUGAGGAACCUGCCUCAAAGAUGGGGACAACAUUUGGAAACGACUGCUAAUACCGCAUAAGCCCACGGUGCCGCAUGUCACGGAGGGAAAAGGAGCAAUCCGCUAUGAGAUGGCCUCGCGUCCGAUUAGCUAGUUGGUGAGGUAACGGCCCACCAAGGAGACGAACGGUAGCCGGACGGAGGGGCGGAGCCGUCACAUUUGAACUGAGACACGGACCACAAUCGUACGGGAGGGAGCAGUGGGGAAUAUUGCACAAUGGGGGAAAACCCGAUGCAGCGGCGCGGGGUAGAGGAAGAAGGUCUUCGGAUUGUACACUCGUGUUGUUGGGGAAGAUAAUGACGGUACCCAACAAGGAAGUGACGGCUAACUACGUG